UGGGGAAUCUUCCGCAAUGGACGAAAGUCUGACGGAGCAACGCCGCGUGAGUGAAGAAGGUUUUCGGAUCGUAAAACUCUGUCUUUUGGGGCGAACGUGAGUAUGGUGAACAAUCAUAGUCAGUGACGGUACCAAAGGAGGAAGCCACGGCUAACUACGUGCCAGCAGCCGCGGUAAUACGUAGGUGGCAAGCGUUGUCCGGAAUUAUUGGGCGUAAAGAGCGCGUAGGCGGGAUAGUCAGUCUGUUGUAAAAGUGCGGGGCUCAACCCCGUGAUGGCAAUGGAAACAGCUAUUCUUGAGUGCAGGAGAGGAAAGUGGAAUUCCCAGUGUAGCGGUGAAAUGCGUAGAUAUUGGGAGGAACACCAGUGGCGAAGGCGACUUUCUGGACUGUGUCUGACGCUGAGGCGCGAAAGCCAGGGGAGCGAACGGGAUUAGAUACCCCGGUAGUCCUGGCCGUAAACGAUGGGUACUAGGUGUGGGAGGUAUCGACCCCUUCCGUGCCGCAGUUAACACAAUAAGCACUCCGCCUGGGGAGUACGGCCGCAAGGUUGAAACUC
Molecule: ribosomal RNA, 557 nt
Filed under: uncultured bacterium
Lineage: Bacteria
Description: partial 16S ribosomal RNA
Rfam family: Bacterial small subunit ribosomal RNA
Source: RNAcentral